RNAcentral lists this transfer-messenger RNA (393 nucleotides) under Bacteroidales. RNAcentral's name for it is "JAIFLP01 sp020049015 X2 Standard tmRNA". It matches the Rfam family "transfer-messenger RNA". From Rfam's summary of the family: Bacterial tmRNA, also known as 10Sa RNA or SsrA, is named for its dual tRNA and mRNA-like properties. Its role is to liberate the mRNA from a stalled ribosome. To accomplish this part of the tmRNA is used as a reading frame that ends in a translation stop signal. The record is from RNAcentral. RNAcentral also lists the same sequence under 1 other name. Lineage: Bacteria; Pseudomonadati; Bacteroidota; Bacteroidia.
GGGGCCGACCGGAUUUGACAGCAAGGUAAAUGGAUGAGUAAGCAUGCCGAGCUUUGCAACAACGCUCGUUAAUCCCUGUUGCGAACAAUAACUGGCGAAAAUUCUUUCGCUCUCGCUGCUUAAUCGAAGUACAGUAGAUUAAGCUCUCCUGGCACAAGGUGCCGGGACGGGACACCUCUCGGGAACCUUGCCUUUCGGUUGCCGGUUCAGAGGUGCUGGAAAGAAAGGCUAGUUGUGCCACGCCUCGCUGACACAACGAAAAAAAACAGAGGCUAAGGAGCAACUCGGCAGUCCGGUGCCAGGUUUCUCCCGACAAUCAAUACCGGACUAAGCAUGUAGAAAGCUCUUCUGUUUCUUGUUUGGACGAGGGUUCGACUCCCUCCGGCUCCACCU